Cricetulus griseus (Chinese hamster) is the source of this 858-nucleotide non-coding RNA. NCBI's taxonomy places the organism in Eukaryota, Metazoa, Chordata, Mammalia, Rodentia, Cricetidae. The record is from RefSeq and is a predicted model, not a curated record.
GGCCCUGAAGCUGUGACCUUUGUGCAUUGCUAAACAGCUGACUUAGUCUGUUAUAAACAUGUGUAUAGGCUCUGUGCGGACUCAGGGACAUGACAACUGGCUCAUGCACUAAGUGUGGUGGAUAUAGGCUCGCCAGUUUGACUGGAUUUAGAGUCGUCAUGGAUGCACACUUCUGGAUAUGUCUGUGAAGGUUCAAGCUGAAGAUUAGAGAAGCAAAGCAGCUGCGCCAGGAGAUCUUACCUCUACUCGGCUGAAAUGCAACAGGCUGCUUCUGCUCCACAUCUCUCCAACACGUGGUGUUCCUGGGGUUCCAGAUGUCGGUCACUUGAAUAGGCACACUGUGGUAUCCUGUUGUUUUAAUUGAUGUUUGCCCAGUCUGUGGUACAAAGCCUAUUGACUUUAUGGAUCUCUGCUUUGGUGAGGUGUCUCUUGUGGCCCUGGCUCAGUGUUAAAUUUGGCUGUUUUCUUCUUGUUGAGUUUUAAGAGUGUGUGUUUUUUUUUUGUACAGUGGGUCUCUAUCAAAUACAUCUGUUGUGGGUAUGUCUCCCAGUUUGUGGCUUGUCUUCUCAUUCUCUUCCCUGAAUGACGUAGUGCAAAACUGUAUAAUUUUGAUUAAGUCUAGUUUAUCAGUGAUUUUUUUCCCCCCCAUGAAUUGUUCCUCUGGUGUUGUACUGGUAAAAGGCAAUUCCUGAGCAAGACUGAUGGCCUGAAUUCCAUCCCCAGAUUUCACCAGCUCCUGAAGGUUGUUUUCUGUCUUCCACAUGCACAACAUAGCACCUUUGUGCCUACAUCAUACACACACCCACACACCCACAUACACACACCCCACCCACACACACACAUACAUCACACACACAC